Molecule: non-coding RNA, 1982 nt
Organism: Misgurnus anguillicaudatus (oriental weatherfish)
Lineage: Eukaryota; Metazoa; Chordata; Actinopteri; Cypriniformes; Cobitidae
Source: RefSeq, a predicted model, not a curated record
AAUUUUUCAGAGAUGGGUAUAAACGGAGGUCGGAGCCAGCUGCAAAUGGGUGGGUAAGCAGCAAGUGGGUGGAGCUUUACCCGCAAGUGGGCUGUACAAACUUCCAGAGGAUUUUGAUUGGUUUAUUUAUAUCACCUGUAGCAGCUAUUGGUUUAUGCUCCUCAGUUGGUGGCGCUAAUGCGUAAGUUUUGUAGCGAUCGAUCAGAAAACAAAGAAGAAAACCGCUUUCACAUGUCAGCGUGUUGUUGAAAUGAAGGGAUUAUGGAUUCUGAAGACCAUAAUAAUAAGGACAAUGCAGGACAAAGGCUGUCAAAUAACUGGAGUGUUUGUCUUGAUGGCAAUAUGCACUGUAUGUUAUUCUGGGACAGAAGUUUGACUUCACUGAAGUAAACAUGAAGAACAUAGGAAAAUGGUGGUGUGCCAUCUUGCUUGAAAAUUAAGUAAGUGUGAAAAAAUUAGCUGUACUUUUAACGUGGUGUUUUAAGAAACUCUUAAAGAAGUGAAGAAAUCUUGUUCAGUCUGUAAACUGUUUUGGGAAGACAUGGAACGGAAUGAUUUAGUGACUCGCUCAUAACACUAUUUCAGUAAAAAUAUAUUCUGCAGACACUUUGAGUGAAAAGAGUGUUUCAGUGAUGAUAAAAAUCAGCAGGUGUAAACACUACUUGCUCUAUCAAACUCCUUUAAUAGCUGUUCUUAAUACUAUUAGGGGUUGGCAAGAUUUUGAAAUGUUUUUGUAUUCAAAUGUUGUUGUAUUCAUUGGUGAAUAAUUUAAAAUUGGACCAUUAAUUAGAUUUUUUUCUAUAUUUACAAAAGUCUUUACUGUAAUUUGUAAUCAAUGUAAUGCAUCCUUGCAUUUAAUUAAUUUUGAUAUUGAACUUGUUCUAUUUCUUACUUUAUUUGUUUUUGUUGCAUGAUAAUCAAAUUGUGCAAGACAUGGGAGAAAGAGAAAAUGAGCUGUUGUAGCUGGUAUUGUCAGCUUUUUAUAUUUUGCUGAUAUUUUUUGUCAAAUAAAAAAUUAAUGGAUAAUUUUAUCACGUUUUAAUUCUAAUUCUCUUUCAGAAGAAGAAGAAGAAUGCUCUGCACUCCCUGAAACCUACGGGAAGAAAAAAAAUGAACUUGCAUAUGAAACAGACCAAACCGCAGUUGUGCCCUGUGUUUUUAGCAAGGAUGAGCUGUUAAAAGAUGAUGACCCUCCAUCAAGCUUUAUCUUCAAGGUAGUUGAAUGUUAUAUAAUGUGCUUUUUUUAAAAAUGUAACGGCCUGUGCUAACUUUUCAGUUAUCAGGAGCGUUGCUGAAGAACAUAGUUGUUCUUCAAGAAGAAGAUGCUGCCUACACGACCCUGUCAUUGGCUUGCUCAAGGUUCAGGGACAUAGUUGGUGAUGACAAGUUCAAGAAUCAGGCACACUUCUUAUGGCUAGAAAGUAAAUAUUGACAUUAAAAAAUAAAAUGCAUAACAAGAACAUCAUUGAUAAUGUUAUGUGAUUUUUUCACCUCGGGUGUUACAUGCUGGAAAAAAGUCAUCUCACUACAAACAGCUCUUCUGGAAGAUGUACUCAUUCUCCACUUGUUUGGAGUGUGGGUUUGAGAACAAAUGCUGCACACCUGGUACUUUUUGUGUAAAUUGGUGAUGAAUAAACUAGUUGUUAGUCUAGAGGAAAACUAAAAAUCUAAUUUACUUAUGUCAUCCCUUGGAGUUUAAAAGUUCUGGACACCAUUCAAUUGACCUACAGAACUGAGAAAUUAUUCCUAAUGUUUGUAAAUGUUCACUGUCAACUAUAAACCCUAGUUCUUAUUGUGCUUCUUGUGUAUCCAUCAGGUUAUGCUGGGAAGGGAAAGCGAGGUGAACUCCAGGGCAUUUAUUCAAAAACCUUCCACCCUGGAUUUUGCAGAUUUGACUGCAUGCAGAUCAGUUCUAAUGAGCUGAUAUAGUUUCCUUACAAAGACUAAAAAUAAUAAAAUAAAAUAAACACUUUUGCAAUCAA